GCGGUCUGGGCUUGCUGUACAUAACUCAAUAGCCGGAAGCCCUUACCCCAAAAAGCAUUCGCGGAGGGCGCGC
MicroRNA precursor from Ursus maritimus (polar bear), 73 nucleotides. The record is from Ensembl. Lineage: Eukaryota; Metazoa; Chordata; Mammalia; Carnivora; Ursidae.